AGCAUACGGGUAUGAGAAAUCAUUCGUUUUUCCUCCCGGAAAGGCAAUUACUUGAGUGGCUACAACACUUGGUGGAACACCACAUCUUCCCGGCCAGGACACAUAGUCGUGUGGUUUACCGAGGUGGAUGUAAAGUGCCCAGAGGAUAGCAUUACUUUACAUGAUGGAGGGGUAGGUCAGGGUUAUCGUUCAUGGAGAUUCUGCGGGAAGGAUGACCGCUCAUUUAUGACCACCACAGAGCAACUUUUCAUCAA
Long non-coding RNA from Haliotis rubra (blacklip abalone), 254 nucleotides. RefSeq lists it as uncharacterized. The transcript has 3 exons. NCBI's taxonomy places the organism in Eukaryota, Metazoa, Mollusca, Gastropoda, Lepetellida, Haliotidae. The record is from RefSeq and is a predicted model, not a curated record.